Molecule: ribosomal RNA, 433 nt
Filed under: uncultured bacterium
Lineage: Bacteria
Description: partial 16S ribosomal RNA
Rfam family: Bacterial small subunit ribosomal RNA
Source: RNAcentral
AACGAACGCUGGCGGCAUGCCUAACACAUGCAAGUCGAACGAGACCUGCGGGUCUAGUGGCGCACGGGUGCGUAACGCGUGGGAACCUGCCCUUAGGUUCGGAAUAACUCCCCGAAAGGGGUGCUAAUACCGGAUAAUGUCUUCGGACCAAAGAUUUGUCGCCGUGGGGUGGGCACGCGUUGGAUUAGCUAGUUGGUAGGGUAAAAGCCUACCAAGGCGACGAUCCAUAGCUGGUCUGAGAGGAUGAUCAGCCACACUGGGACUGAGACACGGCCCAGACUCCUACGGGAGGCAGCAGUGGGGAAUAUUGGACAAUGGGCGAAAGGCUGAUCCAGCAAUGCCGCGUGAGUGAUGAAGGCCUUAGGGUUGUAAAGCUCUUUUACCCGGGAUGAUAAUGACAGUACCGGGAGAAUAAGCUCCGGCUAACUCCGUG